Long non-coding RNA from Arabidopsis thaliana (thale cress), 1891 nucleotides. RefSeq annotates it as other RNA. The record is from RefSeq. The transcript has a single exon. Lineage: Eukaryota; Viridiplantae; Streptophyta; Magnoliopsida; Brassicales; Brassicaceae.
ACAGAUCCAACAAGGCAAAUAGUAGUGAACAAAGUUUGCUUCCUUAAGCAACUUUUCUAAUCAGCCAUUUUGUCUAUCAAAUGAAAAGCAGAGACUCAGAUUAAGUAUAACGAGCAGCACCAAGCGUUUUAUGUUACCAGUAAUACACAUACUAUGCAUUGGGGGACAAGACAUUCAUAGAGUCUAUAUAAGUAUCCUAACAAUUCAAGUAAAAACAAAACAGGUAUUGCAUUCUAAUAAAGAUAACAAGAGGAAAAAACCAAAGAAGAGAAGGCGGUUUAGCAGGCAGCUGAUGAUCCGGUUUACUCUCAAUCAUCCUGUCAAACAAAGUAUGUUUCUUUUUACUGACUCACACGUGACACGAUUAUUCCAGUGAUGACUUACAAUUCAAACUCGUCUUCAAGCUUCAGAGCCUCAGCAGCAGCCUCUUCUUCCUCAUCGUCAACAACAAAGUACGGGUUAUGCACCUCUGGCCUGAACUUGUAGCCAGUAAACAGAUAGAAGGCAAGUGUGGCUAACUCGCUGGCAACAACACUAGUCCACAUAUACUUGUAAGAGGUAAUGGUCUCCAGUGCAUACACAACAACACGAGUGAAGUAGAUGUAGCAGAUAACCACAAUGUAGUACUGCCUAAACAGAGUUAACUUAACGAGGUUCACAGCAGCCUUCCCGUCAGUCUUAGCCGCCUCACGCAAGUUUUUGAUGGACCAGACAAUGGGAAACAGAACAGCACAGCAACAGACGACAUCAACAAGCAAAAAGAUCUGUUUCCACGUGACCCAAUCUUGGCCAUACGGUCCAGUCUCAUCGAUAACCACCUGAGCAAAGUUAGCGACAACCUGGAGAGGAAUGACAAUCAUCAAGACCUUCUUUUCCUUGUCCUGCAAGUAGGGCUUCAAGAAAGACCAACCGGUGCCGAUCAAGACGAUCAAAGUGAAAAGAGUGAUACCCUUAAGGAAAUUGAAAAUGUAGAACAAGACAUCCCAACCAUGAGCAGUUCCAGUUUUCUUAAUGUACGACUUAUCCUCAGCCUCACAAAGAAGGUUCAAAGCUUUCAAGACAACAACUCCCAACAUGAAGAAAUGGAUUGCGAAAACAGUGAGACGUUUCUUAUAGAGAACGUAGAUCCACGUGGCGGCGAGAGAGAAAUAGAUAACAGAGAAUAAGAAAUAGACCUUAGGAAGAACAGUUCUUCCAGCAGAGAGAUAAUCACGACCUCCCUUUUUACCUUCAAGGUUAUACAUAGCGGAUCUAACAUCCAUACUGAUUUUGACCUGUUGGAGACAAUUAGCGAAGACGAGAGAGUACUGAUCCGCAUCGUUCUCGGUGAAUACGGUGGAGAAUCUGCUCUUAUCUCCUCCCUUGAGAUUGUUGAAGGUGAACACAUGCUUAACGAGAUCUGAUUGUAGAGCGCACGUGAUCUCUUCUUCUUCAAGCUGUUGGAUCACAUGAACCCAAGCGUCUCUAGUGCAGAGAAAGAAGCCCACUUUGGAGAGAUCGAGAUCGGGAUUGCUGUUGGAAAGCCAGAUCUUGGAAGCGUCAAGCUCAAGACGACCGCUGUGAGUGAAACCGAAUUCGUCUAAAGGGAUGAUUGGACGAUCAUCGGAUCGGAUCUCUGAUUUACGAAUCUCAGCCGAAGCUAUGGAGAUGGAGAUCAAGAGAAGGAUAAGGAUCGAUGAGAAGCGUGAAGAGAGAUCCAUGGGAACUAGGGUUUCGUUCUUCGACUUCACAGAGAGAUUAAUCUGAUCUCAGAUGUGAGAUCCAAAGCAAAAUCAAUCCAACUUGUUCUUCUUCCGAUGAAAACGGUUGUGUGUGACCAACCAAAUUAAAUUAGUCUUUUUUUUCUUUCUAAGAAACAAAAUAAAUACCAUUAUUUUAUUAGCAACAAGAG